Podarcis lilfordi (Lilford's wall lizard) is the source of this 74-nucleotide non-coding RNA. The record is from the annotation of a GenBank genome assembly. Lineage: Eukaryota; Metazoa; Chordata; Lepidosauria; Squamata; Lacertidae.
GGCUGGUGGAUAGCUCAGUCUGUAGAGCAUGAGACUCAAUCUCAAUCCCAUGGGUUCAAGCCCCACAGUGGGCA